RNAcentral lists this ribosomal RNA (460 nucleotides) under uncultured bacterium. Its description in RNAcentral is "partial 16S ribosomal RNA". It matches the Rfam family "Bacterial small subunit ribosomal RNA", at positions 338 to 795 of the family's 1533-position model. The record is from RNAcentral.
CCUACGGGAGGCAGCAGUGAGGAAUAUUGGUCAAUGGGCGCAAGCCUGAACCAGCCAAGUCGCGUGAAGGAUGACGGAUCUAUGGUUUGUAAACUUCUUUUAUAUGGGGAUAAAGUGAGGAACGUGUUCCUGUUUGUAUGUACCAUAUGAAUAAGCAUCGGCUAACUCCGUGCCAGCAGCCGCGGUAAUACGGAGGAUGCGAGCGUUAUCCGGAUUUAUUGGGUUUAAAGGGUGCGUAGGUGGUUAAUUAAGUCAGCGGUGAAAGUUUGUGGCUCAACUAUAACAUUGCCGUUGAAACUGGUUGACUUGAGUAUAUUUGAGGUAGGCGGAAUGCGUGGUGUAGCGGUGAAAUGCAUAGAUAUCACACAGAACACCGAUUGCGAAGGCAGCUUACUAAACUAUAACUGACACUGAAGCACGAAAGCGUGGGGAGCAAACAGGAUUAGAUACCCUGGUAGUC